CCUACGGGUGGCAGCAGUGAGGAAUAUUGGUCAAUGGCCGGAAGGCUGAACCAGCCAUGCCGCGUGAAGGUCAGUGCCCUAUGGGCGUUAAACUUCUUUUGUGCGGGAGCAAUAAUGGUCACGUGUGGCCAGACGAGAGUACCGUACGAUACAGCAUCGGCUAACUCCGUGCCCGCAGCCGCGGUAAUACGGGGGAUGCAAGCGUUAUCCGGAUUUAUUGGGUUUAAAGAGUGCGUAGGUUGUUUAUUAAGUCAGCGGUGAAAGUUUGUGGCUCAACCAUAAAAUUGCCGUUGAAACUGGAAUACUUGAGUGUGUGUGAGGCAGGCGGAAUGCGUGGUGUAGCGGUGAAAUGCAUAGAUAUCACGCAGAACACCGAUUGCGAAGGCAGCUUACUAAGCCAUAACUGACACUGAGGCACGAAAGCGUGGGGAUCAAACAGGAUUAGAUACCCGUGUAGUC
Molecule: ribosomal RNA, 459 nt
Filed under: uncultured bacterium
Lineage: Bacteria
Description: partial 16S ribosomal RNA
Rfam family: Bacterial small subunit ribosomal RNA
Source: RNAcentral